UGCAGUCGAGCGACAGAUAAGGAGCUUGCUCCUUUGACGUUAGCGGCGGACGGGUGAGUAACACGUGGAUAACCUACCUAUAAGACUGGGAUAACUUCGGGAAACCGGAGCUAAUACCGGAUAAGAUUUUGAACCGCAUGGUUCAAUAGUGAAAGACGGCCUUGCUGUCACUUAUAGAUGGAUCCGCGCCGUAUUAGCUAGUUGGUAAGGUAACGGCUUACCAAGGCAACGAUACGUAGCCGACCUGAGAGGGUGAUCGGCCACACUGGAACUGAGACACGGUCCAGACUCCUACGGGAGGCAGCAGUAGGGAAUCUUCCGCAAUGGGCGAAAGCCUGACGGAGCAACGCCGCGUGAGUGAUGAAGGUCUUCGGAUCGUAAAACUCUGUUAUCAGGGAAGAACAAACGUGUAAGUAACUGUGCACGUCUUGACGGUACCUGAUCAGAAAGCCACGGCUAACUACGUGCCAGCAGCCGCGGUAAUACGUAGGUGGCAAGCGUUAUCCGGAAUUAUUGGGCGUAAAGCGCGCGUAGGCGGUUUUUUAAGUCUGAUGUGAAAGCCCACGGCUCAACCGUGGAGGGUCAUUGGAAACUGGAAAACUUGAGUGCAGAAGAGGAAAGUGGAAUUCCAUGUGUAGCGGUGAAAUGCGCAGAGAUAUGGAGGAACACCAGUGGCGAAGGCGACUUUCUGGUCUGUAACUGACGCUGAUGUGCGAAAGCGUGGGGAUCAAACAGGAUUAGAUACCCUGGUAGUCCACGCCGUAAACGAUGAGUGCUAAGUGUUAGGGGGUUUCCGCCCCUUAGUGCUGCAGCUAACGCAUUAAGCACUCCGCCUGGGGAGUACGACCGCAAGGUUGAAACUCAAAGGAAUUGACGGGGACCCGCACAAGCGGGGAGCAUGUGGUUUAAU
This 910-nucleotide ribosomal RNA is filed under the name Staphylococcus sp. RNAcentral describes it as "bacterial SSU rRNA". It matches the Rfam family "Bacterial small subunit ribosomal RNA", at positions 56 to 950 of the family's 1533-position model. The record is from RNAcentral. Lineage: Bacteria; Bacillati; Bacillota; Bacilli; Caryophanales; Staphylococcaceae.